GCAUCAUUGGUCCAGCGGUAGGAUUACUGCCUUCCAAGCAGUCGGCUCGGGUUCGACUCCCGAAUGAUGCA
Molecule: non-coding RNA, 71 nt
Organism: Orbilia ellipsospora
Lineage: Eukaryota; Fungi; Ascomycota; Orbiliomycetes; Orbiliales; Orbiliaceae
Source: the annotation of a GenBank genome assembly